Molecule: ribosomal RNA, 456 nt
Filed under: uncultured bacterium
Lineage: Bacteria
Description: bacterial SSU rRNA
Rfam family: Bacterial small subunit ribosomal RNA
Source: RNAcentral
UACGGGAGGCAGCAGUGGGGAAUAUUGCACAAUGGGCGAAAGCCUGAUGCAGCUAUGCCGCGUGUAUGAAGAAGGCCUUAGGGUUGUAAAGUACUUUCAUCGGGGAGGAAAAAACAAAACUAAUAAUUUUAUUUCUUGACGUUACCCGAAAAAGAAGCACCGGCUAACUCCGUGCCAGCAGCCGCGGUAAUACGGAGGGUGCUAGCGUUAAUCAGAAUUACUGGGCGUAAAGAGCACGUAGGUGGUUUUUUUAAGUCAGAUGUGAAAUCCCUGGGCUUAACCUAGGAACUGCAUUUUGAAACUGAAAUACUAGAGUAUCGUAGAGGGAGGUAGAAUUCUAGGUGUAGCGGUGAAAUGCGUAGAUAUCUGGAGGAAUACCUGCGGCGAAAGCGGCCUCCUAAACGAAUACUGACACUGAGGUGCGAAAGCGUGGGGAGCAAACAGGGAUUAGAUACC